CCUACGGGCGGCAGCAGUGAGGAAUAUUGGUCAAUGGGCGAGAGUCUGAACCAGCCAAGUAGCGUGAAGGAUGACUGCCCUAUGGGUUGUAAACUUCUUUUAUAUGGGAAUAAAAUGUUCCACGUGUGGGAUUUUGUAUGUACCAUACGACUAAGGAUCGGCUAACUCCGUGCCAGCAGCCGCGGUAAUACGGAGGAUCCGAGCGUUAUCCGGAUUUAUUGGGUUUUAAGGGAGCGUAGGUGGAUUGUUAAGUCAGUUGGGAAAGUUUGUGGCUCAACCGUAAAAUUGCAGUUGAAUCUGGCAGUAUUGAGUACAGUAGAGGUAGGCGGAAUUCGUGGUGUAGCGGUGAAAUGCUUAGAUAUCACGAAGAACUCCGAUUGCGAAGGCAGCUCGCUGGACUGCAACUGACACUGAGGCUCGAAAGUGUGGGUAUCAAACAGGAUUAGAUACCCUUGUAGUC
This 460-nucleotide ribosomal RNA is filed under the name uncultured bacterium. RNAcentral describes it as "partial 16S ribosomal RNA". It matches the Rfam family "Bacterial small subunit ribosomal RNA", at positions 338 to 795 of the family's 1533-position model. The record is from RNAcentral.